AAACCUGAGAGUCUGAUCCUGGCUCAGAGCGAACGCUGGCGGCAGGCUUAACACAUGCAAGUCGAACGAGAAGCCGGGCUUCGGCCCGGUGGACAGUGGCGCACGGGUGAGUAACGCGUGGGAACCUGCCCAUGAGUGGGGAAAAACGGUUGGAAACGACCGCUAAUUCCGCAUACGCCCUACGGGGGAAAGGCUUCGGCCGCUCAUGGAUGGGCCCGCGUCCGAUUAGCUUGUUGGUGAGGUAAUGGCUCACCAAGGCGACGAUCGGUAGCUGGUCUGAGAGGACGAUCAGCCACAUUGGGACUGAGACACGGCCCAGACUCCUACGGGAGGCAGCAGUGGGGAAUAUUGGACAAUGGGCGAAAGCCUGAUCCAGCCAUGCCGCGUGUGUGAAGAAGGUCUUCGGAUUGUAAAGCACUUUAAGUUGGGAGGAAGGGUUGUAGAUUAAUACUCUGCAAUUUUGACGUUACCGACAGAAUAAGCACCGGCUAACUCUGUGCCAGCAGCCGCGGUAAUACAGAGGGUGCA
This 528-nucleotide ribosomal RNA is filed under the name Rhodospirillales bacterium. Its description in RNAcentral is "bacterial SSU rRNA". It matches the Rfam family "Bacterial small subunit ribosomal RNA", at positions 1 to 536 of the family's 1533-position model. Lineage: Bacteria; Pseudomonadati; Pseudomonadota; Alphaproteobacteria; Rhodospirillales. The record is from RNAcentral.